This 581-nucleotide unclassified non-coding RNA is filed under the name Rhodotorula toruloides. Lineage: Eukaryota; Fungi; Basidiomycota; Microbotryomycetes; Sporidiobolales; Sporidiobolaceae. The record is from RNAcentral.
CACCACUCAGAGGGGACUGCUAGGGCUCACAGUGGGCACAGCUGGACUGAAUCACUCGCACCGGGGACAACAGCGACACCCGCAGACGCACCCGUCACCUACUCACCCUCGCUCGACGAGCCGACAUUUUUACCCUCUCGCACCCGUUGAUCACCACAGAUGGGCGCGCUUGUAGGUGCAACGACAUCAGGACGACACACUUGACCGACUCGUCUCAAUCGGGUCGCCUCGAAGCACUGUUCUGACGCCGAAACCCGCCCUCUUCGACCUCGACGCCUCUCUUCCCUCGACCGCUGCCUCUUCAUUCGACGCUAUCGCCUUCUCUCUCACUGCCCAGCACACUCGCAGCAUCGCACAGAUUCAGCUCACUGCUCAACACCGUCCGAGCGCUCCUCAGCAGAAACAGAUCUCGUCUUCAAUGCUCCGAUUUGCACAAGCUUAGAUCCUGACGCAGAUACAGACGCUCUCGCAGCUAGCACAGACACAGAACCAAACACAGACACAGACACAGAAGCAGACCCAGACUCAGACGCAGACUCCGGUUCAAACGCAGACGUCCGCAGCUCCUCUCGCAAUGCACA